This 334-nucleotide unclassified non-coding RNA is filed under the name soil metagenome. Its description in RNAcentral is "partial contains 5.8S ribosomal RNA, internal transcribed spacer 2, and large subunit ribosomal RNA". The stretch from base 1 to 120 matches the Rfam family "5.8S ribosomal RNA", at positions 35 to 154 of the family's 154-position model. The record is from RNAcentral.
GAUGAAGAACGUAGCAAAAUGCGAUAAGUAAUGUGAAUUGCAGAAUUCAGUGAAUCAUCGAAUCUUUGAACGCACAUUGCGCCCGCUAGUAUUCUGGCGGGCAUGCCUGUUCGAGCGUCAUUUCAACCAUCAAGCCCUGCUUGUGUUGGGGUCCUGCGGCUGCCCGCAGGCCCUGAAAACCAGUGGCGGGCUCGCUAGUCACACCGAGCGCAGUAGCACAUCUCGCUCAGGGCGUGCGGCGGGUUCUUGCCGUAAAACACCCCCUUUUUACCAAGGUUGACCUCGGAUCAGGUAGGAAUACCCGCUGAACUUAAGCAUAUCAAUAAGCGGAGGA